This 892-nucleotide ribosomal RNA is filed under the name Foraminifera sp. Its description in RNAcentral is "SSU rRNA". It matches the Rfam family "Eukaryotic small subunit ribosomal RNA", at positions 1160 to 1791 of the family's 1831-position model. The record is from RNAcentral. Lineage: Eukaryota; Foraminifera.
AAGGGCACCACAAGAACGCGUGGAGCAUGUGGCUUAAUUUGACUCAACGCGGGAAAACUUACCGGGUCCGGACACACUGAGGAUUGACAGGCGACCAAUAUGUAAAUAUGCUAGUCCUUUCAUGAUUGUGUGAUAGGUGGUGCAUGGCCGUUCUUAGUUCGUGGAGUGAUCUGUCUGCUUAAUUGCGUUUCAGAUAAAAAGAUAAAAAAGAUAUAGGUUAAGUUACACUUUACAGUGUUUCCUUUAGCUGAGUCUACUAUCUUUGAAAGCAACGAACGUGACCGCAACCCUUUGUUGUGUACACACGUGUACAUUCAAACUAAGGGGACCGCCAGGGUUGUAAAACCGGAGGAAGGUUGCGGCAAUAACAGGUCUGUGAUGCCCUUAGAUGUUCCGGGCUGCACACGUGCUACAAUGAUUGUUGCAGAAAGCAUCUAUAUUUGAUUUUGUCAUUCGCAUUUUAUUAUGUGAUAGACCAUGUAUGGAGCAUUUGCUAUUACACUUUGUGUUUUGGCUUUUGUUUAUUCCAACAUGAAACCUACCUCGAAAGUUCGGUAGGCAAUCAAUUCCAAGUGACAAUCUCCCCGCGCACAAAUCAAAUGUUACUAUUGAACUUUUAGUUUACUAAUUGUUUAUAGUUGACAUGUGCUCUAUUAAUUCGUGGUCGGGACAGACCAUUGCUAAUUGUUGGUCUCGGUCUCAACUAGGAAUGCCUUGUACGGGUCUUUGGUUCAACAAACCACCCGGAAUACGUCCCUGCCCUUUGUACACACCGCCCGUCGCUCUUACCGAUGGACUUCUCUGUGAGUUUGAGGGACUGGUCUUCACCUUUUUAAGGUGUAAUACUAUGGAAACUCAAACGAACAGUGUGGUCUAAGGGAAAGAGAAGUCG